RNAcentral lists this long non-coding RNA (2915 nucleotides) under Sus scrofa (pig). Its description in RNAcentral is "lncRNA (ENSSSCG00040019861.1)". The record is from RNAcentral. Lineage: Eukaryota; Metazoa; Chordata; Mammalia; Artiodactyla; Suidae.
UUAGUUUCAGACGCUCUGGGUGUGUAUGGCUAACAUGCAAAAUAAAUUAUUCUUUUUAGUUGGAAAACAAGAAAGUAUAGCCGCGUAGCAUUCUCUGGAUUCAAUGGCUAAUGAAGUUUCUAAGGGGAAAAACGUAUCCAAAUGACAUCUUCUUGACCACAGUCAACGUGGGAUCCGAGCUGCGACUUCGACCUACACCACAGCUCACGGCAACACCAGAUCCUUUAACCCACUGAGCGAGGCCAGGGAUCAAACCCACAACCUCACAGUUCCUAGUUGCAUUCGUUAACCACUGCGCCACAGUGGGAAUUCCUAGAACAUACUGUUUUUAAAUUGCAUGAGUGACUAUAGGAAAGAAUUGGAAACAUUUUCACCUUCCAAACAUAAUGAGAGAGUCCCGAAUUUAGAGUCUUUGUAACCCCAGCACAUAGAGUGAACCCCAACAUGGGGUAGCCCUCAAGGAAGGUUUACAGGUGAAUGAAAGAAUUCCACCAAGCAGACUGACAAGACAUGGAGAUGUGUGACAAUGACAGCGAAUGUACUUUCGCAACUCGACUAGAUGCAGGCCCAGUUCCUAGUGUUGGGCAUGUAUGAGCUCUUUGAGCCCUCAGGUAGCUCCUAUAGCAUUAUCUCUGUUUUACAGAUGGGGAAACCUGGCACAGAGAGGUCAACAGACUUGCUCAGGGUCACACAGCUUAUACAUGGUAGUACCAGGAUUGGAAACGAGGCACGUUGGUUCCAGAGAUUGUGCUGCUAACCAUUCCUUCGCUUGAUUACACAGAAGAAAGGCUUUCUCGAGGGCAGUGUGUUUCCUCCUCUGAUAACAAGCAGUCUCAGAAAGAACCAGGACAUGGGCCACCCUGGGGGCAGAACUGGGGACAAAGGGACACACCUCUCCCCCACCAGGCACCUACAGCCUAGUGGGAAAAGAUAAAUAUUCUUUGCAACAGAUUAUUUUCUCUGUUAGGGCCACCAGCUUUAUAAACUCCUUAAAAUACUAUUCAAACUACCCCUCACCUCCAAGGUACUUUGAUAGCAUGGCAUUCAUUAUUAGUUUAAUUGUCAGUAUUUUAUGUCUGUCUCUAAGUUCUGGUAAUAAUGAGACAAAGAAAAGUUUAAUACUGAGUCAACGUUUUCUAUACGCUAAGUGCUGUUCUAAGCCCUUUGCUUAGACUUGUACAGGAGAUGCCAUUAUUGGCAUCCCAUUUUACAGAUGAGGAAACUGAGGCACAGAGGUCAAGAGUUAGUGAGUGGUAGAGCUGGGAUCCAAGCAGCCUGGGUCUACAGUGGCUCCCAGGAUUGCUGGGUAGGUCUUAUCACACACUUCAUGAAGGAAGGAAGAUGGAGGUACCCUUUAGACUUGCUCACCUUACCAAAUGUAGAAGGUGUGUUAUGAUUUUCCUGCUGUUUGUUCAUUUGUUUGUGUCACCCAGUGGCCAGGGAAUCACAUUGGAGCCACAGCUGUGACCUAUACCACAGCUGUGGCAAUGCCAGAUCCUUAACCCACUGUGCGGGGCCAGGGGUUGAACCUGCAUCCCAGUGGUCCAGAGAUGCUUGUGAUGCCGCUGUGCCACAGCAGGAGCUCUGGUUUUCUUGCUCGUUGUGUAAGAGAAAUCAAACGCUUUCUUCUCCUCUUCUUCUUUUUUUAACCUAUGCCAUCCCAUCUGUGUGCUCAGAAAUCUAUGAAAAGUGAAAAGUUUAUACCACAUUCGAGUGAUUAGUCUUUGGUCAUAUAUUUUACAGGGAGCAUUUUAGGCGAACUUGGACUUCAUCGUGAGAACUGAAAGCAUUUCAUUCUCAGUAUAAACCCAGCUAGAUCUGUAGUUCUCACCUCAGCUCACCCCGAAGGCCAAAUAUUAGAGUCAUCUCUUGACAGCCGAGGAUUCUGGGUAACAUUCCCACUAGGGUUAUGCCAAAGGAAGAUAUAAAGAAAUAAAGUUUGAAGCUGAGAUUUGGCUUCUUGCUGCUGCCUAGUUAACAUUAGAUUAAUAUUUUCCUUUUUUACAUAAAAAAGUAGUUUUCUAAGGGAUCAUAAAUUUUUAAACCAGAGACUGUCUGUGAGUUCUACUUUUUUUUUAUAAAUUCAAAUUAUUGGCUUCAGCUACCAUUUUUAAACUCUGUCCUGCUUUGUACUUACUGAGAACAUUCAAACUUCAGAGCCCUUCAUCUGUGAAUUAAUCAUGUGCGGAGUAUAUGCCGUUGGAAUUUAGCUAUAAAUAUAAAUGAAACGGCUCCAGCCAUGGCUGGGUUCAAAAAAAACUGAAGCAAUUUGGGGUUUUAAGUUAGAAAAAAAAUAGAGAAAUUGUAAGGAUGGAGAAAAGGAGGAAAAUAAGGAGUGAUUAAAUAUAAUAGUCCUUUUGCAUUCAAAUAUUGGGCUUGUGCAGUAUACACGGUGUGUACCUGCGAUGCUGCAAAUCGGUUUGUAAGUUCUCCUGUCAAAGUCAAAGGGAUUGAGUAGAGUGUCCCCGACAACAGAGUAUCUUUCUUACUUCACCUGCAGACACAUGAAAGGAAGGUGCAGACAUUAAUCACCAUGAAGCAUGACCAUGUGAAGUGUUAUAUAUAGUUUUUCCCUGGCACCAGUUGGCAAGAAGGUUGGGCAAGUGGGGGAACUGAGACGGCUGAGACAGGGAGGGACCAGGAGGAAUGAAGAGUGCCUGCUCACCCGAGGGUACACACCUUAGAUGCUGUUUGCCUCCCAGAAAAUUCUGGAGCAUAAAAUAGCUAGGAAACACUUCCAUCCAUUAUGGAGUUUCUCAUCAGAUUGAGCUGGAAGGGCUUCACCGUUGGACUUCCCAUCAUGGCUCAGUGGUAAUGAAUUGGACUAUUAUCCAUGAGGAUGUGGGUUCAAUCCCUGGCCUGGCUCAGUGGGUUAAAGGAUCUGGUGGUGCCGUGCUGUGGUGUAGGUCUCUGAU